AAAUUGAAGAGUUUGAUCAUGGCUCAGAUUGAACGCUGGCGGCAGGCCUAACACAUGCAAGUCGAGCGGUAGCACAGAGAGCUUGCUCUCGGGUGACGAGCGGCGGACGGGUGAGUAAUGUCUGGGAAACUGCCUGAUGGAGGGGGAUAACUACUGGAAACGGUAGCUAAUACCGCAUAAUGUCGCAAGACCAAAGUGGGGGACCUUCGGGCCUCAUGCCAUCAGAUGUGCCCAGAUGGGAUUAGCUAGUAGGUGGGGUAACGGCUCACCUAGGCGACGAUCCCUAGCUGGUCUGAGAGGAUGACCAGCCACACUGGAACUGAGACACGGUCCAGACUCCUACGGGAGGCAGCAGUGGGGAAUAUUGCACAAUGGGCGCAAGCCUGAUGCAGCCAUGCCGCGUGUAUGAAGAAGGCCUUCGGGUUGUAAAGUACUUUCAGCGGGGAGGAAGGCGAUAAGGUUAAUAACCUUGUCGAUUGACGUUACCCGCAGAAGAAGCACCGGCUAACUCCGUGCCAGCAGCCGCGGUAAUACGGAGGGUGCAAGCGUUAAUCGGAAUUACUGGGCGUAAAGCGCACGCAGGCGGUCUGUCAAGUCGGAUGUGAAAUCCCCGGGCUCAACCUGGGAACUGCAUUCGAAACUGGCAGGCUAGAGUCUUGUAGAGGGGGGUAGAAUUCCAGGUGUAGCGGUGAAAUGCGUAGAGAUCUGGAGGAAUACCGGUGGCGAAGGCGGCCCCCUGGACAAAGACUGACGCUCAGGUGCGAAAGCGUGGGGAGCAAACAGGAUUAGAUACCCUGGUAGUCCACGCCGUAAACGAUGUCGAUUUGGAGGUUGUGCCCUUGAGGCGUGGCUUCCGGAGCUAACGCGUUAAAUCGACCGCCUGGGGAGUACGGCCGCAAGGUUAAAACUCAAAUGAAUUGACGGGGGCCCGCACAAGCGGUGGAGCAUGUGGUUUAAUUCGAUGCAACGCGAAGAACCUUACCUGGUCUUGACAUCCACAGAACUUAGCAGAGAUGCUUUGGUGCCUUCGGGAACUGUGAGACAGGUGCUGCAUGGCUGUCGUCAGCUCGUGUUGUGAAAUGUUGGGUUAAGUCCCGCAACGAGCGCAACCCUUAUCCUUUGUUGCCAGCGGUUAGGCCGGGAACUCAAAGGAGACUGCCAGUGAUAAACUGGAGGAAGGUGGGGAUGACGUCAAGUCAUCAUGGCCCUUACGACCAGGGCUACACACGUGCUACAAUGGCAUAUACAAAGAGAAGCGACCUCGCGAGAGCAAGCGGACCUCAUAAAGUAUGUCGUAGUCCGGAUUGGAGUCUGCAACUCGACUCCAUGAAGUCGGAAUCGCUAGUAAUCGUAGAUCAGAAUGCUACGGUGAAUACGUUCCCGGGCCUUGUACACACCGCCCGUCACACCAUGGGAGUGGGUUGCAAAAGAAGUAGGUAGCUUAACCUUCGGGAGGGCGCUUACCACUUUGUGAUUCAUGACUGGGGUGAAGUCGUAACAAGGUAACCGUAGGGGAACCUGCGGUUGGAUCACCUCCUUACCUUAAAGAA
RNAcentral lists this ribosomal RNA (1550 nucleotides) under Klebsiella quasipneumoniae subsp. similipneumoniae. Its description in RNAcentral is "16S ribosomal RNA". It matches the Rfam family "Bacterial small subunit ribosomal RNA". The record is from RNAcentral. RNAcentral also lists the same sequence under 1 other name. Lineage: Bacteria; Pseudomonadati; Pseudomonadota; Gammaproteobacteria; Enterobacterales; Enterobacteriaceae.